Caerostris extrusa is the source of this 117-nucleotide non-coding RNA. Lineage: Eukaryota; Metazoa; Arthropoda; Arachnida; Araneae; Araneidae. The record is from the annotation of a GenBank genome assembly.
ACGGCCAUACCAUGCUGAAUAUACUCGUUAGAUCACCGAAGUCAAGCAUCAUUGGGCGCGAUCAGUACUUAGGUGGUCAUCAGUACUUACUCCACCUGGGAACACCGCGUGCCGCUG